UGAUAUGUUUGAUAUUGGGUUGUUGAAUUAGGAACCAACUAAAUGUCAAACAUAUUCUU
This 59-nucleotide microRNA precursor is filed under the name Pteropus alecto (black flying fox). RNAcentral's name for it is "microRNA pal-mir-190b precursor". Its record names the gene pal-mir-190b. It matches the Rfam family "mir-190 microRNA precursor family", at positions 10 to 69 of the family's 78-position model. The record is from miRBase by way of RNAcentral. Lineage: Eukaryota; Metazoa; Chordata; Mammalia; Chiroptera; Pteropodidae.